RNAcentral lists this ribosomal RNA (263 nucleotides) under uncultured bacterium. Its description in RNAcentral is "partial 16S ribosomal RNA". It matches the Rfam family "Bacterial small subunit ribosomal RNA", at positions 793 to 1055 of the family's 1533-position model. The record is from RNAcentral.
GUCCACGCCGUAAACGAUGGGCACUAGGUGUGGGGGGUGUCGACUCCCUCCGUGCCGAAGCUAACGCAUUAAGUGCCCCGCCUGGGGAGUACGGCCGCAAGGCUAAAACUCAAAGGAAUUGACGGGGGCCCGCACAAGCAGCGGAGCAUGUGGUUUAAUUCGAAGCAACGCGAAGAACCUUACCUGGGCUUGACAUGUGCCUGACCGCCGUGGAAACACGGCUUCCCUUCGGGGCAGGUUCACAGGUGGUGCAUGGCUGUCGU